This is a long non-coding RNA of Cicer arietinum (chickpea), 1301 nucleotides long. RefSeq lists it as uncharacterized. The record is from RefSeq and is a predicted model, not a curated record. NCBI's taxonomy places the organism in Eukaryota, Viridiplantae, Streptophyta, Magnoliopsida, Fabales, Fabaceae.
AGAUAUAUAUAUAUAUAGAGGCUCACCAUAACGAAACAAUAUGCUUUCACUACUAUAACCCAUCACACUAAACCAAUUCCUAAUACAUAGAAGCACUUCUCACCUUAACAAACACCAUUCCCUUCAUAAAACUAGAACUACUCUACCGUUGAAAGUUGCCAAUUUGAAAUCAGCUAGCAAAACAUCACAAUGAAUUGCUUCCUUGUUUGUUACAAUGAUUCCUUCAAUAGCCACUUUCAAAGUAAUCAUCUUCUUCUUCUUGUGCACCCAUUUUGAUGUUAGUAUUGUUGUCUCUGUCCAACACAAAUUUUAUAUCUGUGUUAAGGCACAUAUUCGUCACACACGUAAAUAAUGUGCAUAAUAUUGGUGUUGUUACAAAUAGGAUAAAAAAAUUACUAAAUUGAUGGAUGCGGUGUUGGCCGCUGCAUCCCUUAAUAAAAAAGAGUUUAUGAUACAUCGUAAAGAAGGAUGUCUACAUAGAGAUAGUUAUUAUCGAUACAAAAAAGUUGAAUCGCAUAUCUCCGACAACUUGAAGAAUGUUCAAAAUCAUUUGACCACAUACUCCACAGCUACAUUUGGUACCUGCAGCAAUCAAGGGUUGAGGAUUUAUGGUUAUAAUCAAGAUACAUUGUACGCGUAAAAUCAAUGGUUCCAUAUAUUUCAUGUUUGAGUAUGCAGUUACAAUAUUUCAAAACUGUUAAAAAGAGUUACCAAAACAAAGUAACACCAUCAGCUCAAGGAGGAAGAAAUUAUGUUACCAAACCAUUUGAAUUUUCAGUCCAAUUUUGCAAUAUCUCAUGAUAUUGACCUUUUUCCCUUAGUUUAGUUGACAAAACAUAUCUCGAAAGACUCUGAAAGACAUAUUAAAAAAUAAUAUUCAAGCAAUCUAAUUUCAUUACCUUCGUGGGAAUCUAUAGUUACCUUCAACAAGUGUACCAUUCACUUUUAGGGUUGAGAAUCAAAACACUAUUUAGGGAAAUUAUACAAUCUAAUAUGAUUACCUUCGUGGGAACCUAUGGUUACCUUCAACAAAUGUACCAUUCACUUUUGGGGUUAGGAAUCAAAACACUAUUUGGGGAAAUUAUAGUAGGAGUUAAAAACUUUUAUAUUUUCGGUAUAUUAUAAUUAUUUAUAGGCAUGAUUUUAUGUAUAGUUAUGUUAAAAGUUAAAUAAUUCUAAUGAUUUAACGGCUGUGAUUGACUGACAAUGUAAAGAUUCGUUAUAUUAAUGUAUACAUGAAUUGAAUCCUUGUACGUAAUAGAAUUGAACAAAUGAUAGUUUCAUGUUCGCUUUUAUUAAUA